Molecule: long non-coding RNA, 848 nt
Organism: Sebastes umbrosus (honeycomb rockfish)
Lineage: Eukaryota; Metazoa; Chordata; Actinopteri; Perciformes; Sebastidae
Exons: 3
Source: RefSeq, a predicted model, not a curated record
AAUAGUAACUCCUCUUAAGAGGAAUGUAUUGCUGUAAAGGUAUUAUGCUUUUGUUGGAUUAUACUGGGUGUGUUCUUCAUAUGGACCCCGGGAAGAGUAGUUGUUGCCACGGUAACCACUAAGUGAUAAAUGAAACAAUAAGAAAUUAGUGCAAUUACUUGCAUACCUCCUGAGUUGUGCUUUAGCCCUCAGCAGGAUUACAGAAAAACUACUGGCUGGAUUUUUAUGAUUCUUGGUGGACGGGUGGAGCAUAGGAGGAAGAAGGAAGACCCAUUACAUUUUGGAGCAGAUAUGAAACACGCUCCCUUCAGACUCCACCCUGCCGCUCUGCAGGUGGCUUCUUGUGUGACGUCCCCUCUGCAGCUAACUGGAGCGAAACAGUGAAGGAGGGCAUGAUGAACGGCUCUGUCCAGGCAUCAUUAAGCUCAGUCUAAUUCAGAGAGAACCUUACCUUUCCAUCCCAUCACAACUCUUUAACUUCAAUCUGAACAUUUUGCAAAUUGGGUCUAGUAGUCAAACGUCAAGGAGUGACUUUGUCUGCUGCUGCUGCUGCCUAUUCUCCAUCAACUCUUCAAGCCGAGUUGUCAUGGAAACCUGAUUUGAGAAUGCAGUCAAGGUACCGGGAUGAUGGUGAAUGAUACUCCACAUAUCCAUCAAAUAGAGGGCAAAUGGGGAGAUUCUGAUGAGUUUCUAAAGAGACUGUGAGCACUUCCCCACAGGAAACUCUCAGUUUGGAUAUAUGGGUUUGAACAGGAAGCUGCAGCUGGAAGCUCGUUGAUUACUCAUUUCUUGUUGAGCAAACAUUUCAAUAUCAAGAUGAAUAGAAGUGAAAUUGCAUAUUCAAAUCA